GACGAACGCUGGCGGCGUGCUUAACACAUGCAAGUCGAACGGAAAGGCCCUGCUUUUGUGGGGUGCUCGAGUGGCGAACGGGUGAGUAACACGUGAGUAACCUGCCCUUGACUUUGGGAUAACUUCAGGAAACUGGGGCUAAUACCGGAUAGGAGCUCCUGCUGCAUGGUGGGGGUUGGAAAGUUUCGGCGGUUGGGGAUGGACUCGCGGCUUAUCAGCUUGUUGGUGGGGUAGUGGCUUACCAAGGCUUUGACGGGUAGCCGGCCUGAGAGGGUGACCGGCCACAUGGGGACUGAGGGACGGCCCAGACUCCUACGGGAGGCAGCAGUGGGGAAUAUUGCACUAUGGGCGGAAGCCUGAUGCAGCAACGCCGCGUGCGGGAUGACGGCCUUCGGGUUGUAAACCGCUUUCGCCUGUGACGAAGCGUGAGUGACGGUAAUGGGUAAAGAAGCACCGGCUAACUACGUU
This 468-nucleotide ribosomal RNA is filed under the name uncultured bacterium. RNAcentral's name for it is "partial 16S ribosomal RNA". It matches the Rfam family "Bacterial small subunit ribosomal RNA", at positions 28 to 507 of the family's 1533-position model. The record is from RNAcentral.